RNAcentral lists this ribosomal RNA (497 nucleotides) under uncultured bacterium. RNAcentral's name for it is "partial 16S ribosomal RNA". It matches the Rfam family "Bacterial small subunit ribosomal RNA", at positions 28 to 507 of the family's 1533-position model. The record is from RNAcentral.
GACGAACGCUGGCGGCGUGCCUAAUACAUGCAAGUAGAACGCUGAAGAGAGGAGCUUGCUCUUCUUGGAUGAGUUGCGAACGGGUGAGUAACGCGUAGGUAACCUGCCUGGUAGCGGGGGAUAACUAUUGGAAACGAUAGCUAAUACCGCAUAAAAUUGAUUAUUGCAUGAUAAUUAAUUGAAAGAUGCAACUGCAUCACUACCAGAUGGACCUGCGUUGUAUUAGCUAGUUGGUGAGGUAACGGCUCACCAAGGCGACGAUACAUAGCCGACCUGAGAGGGUGAUCGGCCACACUGGGACUGAGACACGGCCCAGACGCCUACGGGAGGCAGCAGUAGGGAAUCUUCGGCAAUGGGGGGAACCCUGACCGAGCAACGCCGCGUGAGUGAAGAAGGUUUUCGGAUCGUAAAGCUCUGUUGUAAGAGAAGAGCGGGUGUGAGAGUGGAAAGUUCACACUGUGACGGUAUCUUACCAGAAAGGGACGGCUAACUACGUG